GGUGGCUUAGUGGUAGAGUGUUUGCCUAGCAUGCAUGAAGCCCUGGGUUCCAUUCUCAGCACCA
This 64-nucleotide transfer RNA is filed under the name Dipodomys ordii (Ord's kangaroo rat). It matches the Rfam family "tRNA". Rfam says of the family: Transfer RNA (tRNA) molecules are approximately 80 nucleotides in length. Their secondary structure includes four short double-helical elements and three loops (D, anti-codon, and T loops). The record is from Rfam by way of RNAcentral. Lineage: Eukaryota; Metazoa; Chordata; Mammalia; Rodentia; Heteromyidae.